ACAAGUUCCAGCGAUGAAUAUCUCGGCUCAAGCAUCGAUGAAGGGCGCAGCGAAGUGCGAUAAUCAUUGUGAAUUGCAGGAUUCCGAGAAUCAACAGGUCCUUGAACGUGCAUUGCACUCCUGGGAUAUGCCUGGGAGUAUGCCUGCUUCAGUGCUUGUU
Molecule: ribosomal RNA, 160 nt
Filed under: Dactylodinium pterobelotum
Lineage: Eukaryota; Dinophyceae; Suessiales; Borghiellaceae
Description: 5.8S ribosomal RNA
Rfam family: 5.8S ribosomal RNA
About the family: 5.8S ribosomal RNA (5.8S rRNA) is a component of the large subunit of the eukaryotic ribosome.
Source: RNAcentral